RNAcentral lists this ribosomal RNA (395 nucleotides) under Pantoea sp. RNAcentral's name for it is "bacterial SSU rRNA". It matches the Rfam family "Bacterial small subunit ribosomal RNA", at positions 1034 to 1429 of the family's 1533-position model. The record is from RNAcentral. Lineage: Bacteria; Pseudomonadati; Pseudomonadota; Gammaproteobacteria; Enterobacterales; Erwiniaceae.
ACAGGUGCUGCAUGGCUGUCGUCAGCUCGUGUUGUGAAAUGUUGGGUUAAGUCCCGCAACGAGCGCAACCCUUAUCCUUUGUUGCCAGCGAUUCGGUCGGGAACUCAAAGGAGACUGCCGGUGAUAAACCGGAGGAAGGUGGGGAUGACGUCAAGUCAUCAUGGCCCUUACGAGUAGGGCUACACACGUGCUACAAUGGCGCAUACAAAGAGAAGCGACCUCGCGAGAGCAAGCGGACCUCACAAAGUGCGUCGUAGUCCGGAUCGGAGUCUGCAACUCGACUCCGUGAAGUCGGAAUCGCUAGUAAUCGUGGAUCAGAAUGCCACGGUGAAUACGUUCCCGGGCCUUGUACACACCGCCCGUCACACCAUGGGAGUGGGAUGCAAAAGAAGUAG